RNAcentral lists this long non-coding RNA (455 nucleotides) under Olea europaea (common olive). Its description in RNAcentral is "long non-coding RNA (OEUR_LNC009039)". The record is from RNAcentral. Lineage: Eukaryota; Viridiplantae; Streptophyta; Magnoliopsida; Lamiales; Oleaceae.
UUCUUUACCAUCAUCCGAUGGAGGAAGCAAUUUUGAUUGCUUCACAACAAUUUCUUCAUUACUCUCCUUGAUCUCGCUUCAGAUCUAGAAUGGUGGUUCCAUUGACCACACUAAUAACACAAAUCAAAUUCAAUUUACCGCACCAACUAUACCGACAUCGCCAACUCCACCUACCACUACAGCUACUCCAACCCAUUUACCACAUUAACCACACACAUGAAAACUCCAAAUUACUUUAAACCAGAUGAAACUGCCGGGUUGGCUAAAGAUAAAGAAGGAGCCAGGGACGCUCUUGAUAGUGGUAUCGAUGUUAUUGAGAAAGAUGAACGUUUGGAGCACACAUUGAAUUUUGAGGCCAUCGUAGCAUGCGAGAGGUAUUGCUCGAAGGUUGCCAUCACACUUCUUGAUUCUGUAAGUGUCAGAUGUAGUGAUUUUUGACCAAUGGCGCGAUGGAG